UCCGAUUAGCCAUGCUAGUCGCACGAGUUCAGACUCGUGGCGAAUAGCUCAGUAACACGUGGCCAAACUACCCUUCGGAACACAAUACCCUCGGGAAACUGAGGCUAAUAGUGUAUACCAUACCACCACUGGAAUGAGUGGUAUGCCAAACGCUCCGGCGCCGAAGGAUGUGGCUGCGGCCGAUUAGGUAGACGGUGGGGUAACGGCCCACCGUGCCAAUAAUCGGUAUGGGUCAUGAGAGUGAGAACCCAGAGACGGAAUCUGAGACAAGAUUCCGGGCCCUACGGGGCGCAGCAGGCGCGAAACCUUUACACUGCACGACAGUGCGAUAGGGGGAUCCCAAGUGCACAGGCAUAGCGCCUGUGCUUUUCGGUACCCUAAGGCGGUACCAGAAUAAGGGCUGGGCAAGACCGGUGCCAGCCGCCGCGGUAAUACCGGCAGCCCAAGUGAUGGCCGAUCUUAUUGGGCCUAAAGCGUCCGUAGCUGGCCGCGCAAGUCCAUCGGGAAAUCCACCUGCUCAACAGGUGGGCGCCCGGUAGAAACUGCGUGGCUUGGGACCGGAAGGCGCGACG
RNAcentral lists this ribosomal RNA (572 nucleotides) under Halorubrum coriense. RNAcentral describes it as "bacterial SSU rRNA". It matches the Rfam family "Archaeal small subunit ribosomal RNA", at positions 39 to 613 of the family's 1478-position model. Lineage: Archaea; Methanobacteriati; Methanobacteriota; Halobacteria; Halobacteriales; Haloferacaceae. The record is from RNAcentral.